ACACAUGUAGACGCCUUAAGUGAAAGAUUUUCGGACGCGGGUUCGAUUCCCGCCGCCUCCACCA
RNAcentral lists this transfer-messenger RNA (64 nucleotides) under Desulfuromonas sp. RNAcentral describes it as "partial transfer-messenger RNA". It matches the Rfam family "transfer-messenger RNA", at positions 310 to 374 of the family's 374-position model. Rfam says of the family: Bacterial tmRNA, also known as 10Sa RNA or SsrA, is named for its dual tRNA and mRNA-like properties. Its role is to liberate the mRNA from a stalled ribosome. To accomplish this part of the tmRNA is used as a reading frame that ends in a translation stop signal. The record is from RNAcentral. Lineage: Bacteria; Pseudomonadati; Thermodesulfobacteriota; Desulfuromonadia; Desulfuromonadales; Desulfuromonadaceae.